RNAcentral lists this long non-coding RNA (1369 nucleotides) under Homo sapiens (human). Its description in RNAcentral is "long non-coding RNA NONHSAT168611.1". Lineage: Eukaryota; Metazoa; Chordata; Mammalia; Primates; Hominidae. The record is from RNAcentral.
CUGAGCCCCCACCCCCUCCCCGCCACCCCCAGCCCACUGCUGUGGACUCCUGCGCCGCCCGAGCCUCCUCGACGAGCACCGCCCCCUGCUCCAGGGCGCCCAGUCCCAUAGACCGCCCGAAGGCUGAGGACUGCUGGCGCAUGGCGCGGGACUGGCAGGCAGCUCCACCUGCGGCCCCUGUGCGGGAUCCACUGCGUGAAGCCAGCUGGGCUCCUGAGUAUGGUGGGGACUUGAAGUAUCUUUAUGUCUAGGUAAGGGAUUGUAAAUACACCAGUCAGCACUCUGUAUCUAGCUCAAGUUUUGUAAACACACCAAUCAGCACCCUGUGUCUAGCUCAGGGUUUGUGAAUGCACCAAUGGACACUGCAUCUAGCUAAUCUAGUGGGGAGGUGGAGAACUUUUGUGUCUAGCUCAGGGAUUGUAAAGCACCAAUCAGCACCCUGUUAAAACAGACCAAUCAGCUCUCUGUAAAAUGGACCAAUCAGCAGGAUGUGGGUGGGACCAGAUAAGAGAAUAAAAGCAGGCUGCCUGAGCUGGCGGUGGCAAUGCUUCCCUGUCUCCUUCUGUACUGUGGAAGCUUUGCUCUUUUACUCUGCAAUAAAUCUUGCUGCUGCUAACUGUUUGGGUCCACGCUACCUCUAUAAGCUGUAACACUCACCAUAAAGGUCUUACAGCUUCAUUCCUGAAGCCAGUGAGACCACGAACCCAGCAGGAGGAACGAACAACUCCAGACGCGCUGCCUUAAGAGCUGUUAACACUCACCGCAAGGUCUGCAGCUUCACUCCUGAAGCCAGAGAGACCACGAACCCAGCAGGAGGAAUGAACAACUCCAGAUGCGCCGCCUUAAGAGCUGUAACGCUCACCGCGAAGGUCUGCAGCCUCACUCCUGAGCCAGCGAGACCACGAACCCACCAGAAGGAAGAAACUCCGAACACAUCCGAACCUCGGAAGGAAGAAACUCCAAACACAUCCAAACAUCAGAAGGAACAAACUCUGCACACACCGCCUUUAAGAACUGUAACACUCACCACCAGGGUUCGCGGCUUCAUUCUUGAAGUCAGUGAGACCAAGAAGCCACCAAUUCCGGACACAAUAUGAAGUAAGUUUUCCUAUGUCUUUUAAAAAUAUAUAUUAAUAUAUUUAAUAAGAAUUUAUUACCUUUUCACUACCCUAUUUGGUACUAUUCUUAUUCAUUUUACUUUUUAUUUUUAAAAACUUUUGCAGUGGUAUGAUUGUAUAUGGAAAGGUCAAUGAAAAAAAUUCACUCUUCCUAAUCUGAAAUGGCAUGUUUAUUUUCAUUUAUUUAUUUUUACUGACAUGACCAUAUAAGGGUUAGUGAAAGAAAAUGUUCACUACUUAAAGUUUCCUGG